Long non-coding RNA from Dipodomys ordii (Ord's kangaroo rat), 257 nucleotides. RefSeq lists it as uncharacterized. The record is from RefSeq and is a predicted model, not a curated record. The transcript is spliced from 2 exons. Lineage: Eukaryota; Metazoa; Chordata; Mammalia; Rodentia; Heteromyidae.
GAGCGUGUCAACGCCCAUCGCGGACAUCUACGAGCAGGAGAAGGAUGAGGAUGGCUUCCUCUAUAUGGUCUACGCCUCCCAGGAAACCUUCGGCUUCUGAGCCAGCAGCCUAUGCCUGUUUGCCCACCUGCCCCUCACUCACCUGAGACUCUGCCCCUGCCUGGACCUGCCCACCCCUGAAAGACUGGCCCUUGGCUCCCUUGGUCUCCACAUGAACAUUGUCCCUCUGCAGAAUAAAGAUUGCUCAGGCCUGCCUG